Molecule: non-coding RNA, 213 nt
Filed under: Allobosea sp.
Lineage: Bacteria; Pseudomonadati; Pseudomonadota; Alphaproteobacteria; Hyphomicrobiales; Alloboseaceae
Also listed under: 1 other name
Source: RNAcentral
ACUAAAUAUAGUGGUCACGGUCUCUCGAAUCAGAUGAUCGAGAGCUAAGAGGGAAUUCGGUGCGCCCAUCAGGCAAUGCCGGAGCUGCCCCCGCAACUGUUGGCGGUGAGCCUACGUCCAUAUUGCGCCACUGAAGCCAUUUCGGCUUCGGGAAGGCAAGGAUGCAGGCGACGACCCGCGAGCCAGGAGACCUGCCGCGACAGCAUGAAUCGU